Molecule: long non-coding RNA, 1409 nt
Filed under: Brachypodium distachyon (stiff brome)
Lineage: Eukaryota; Viridiplantae; Streptophyta; Magnoliopsida; Poales; Poaceae
Description: long non-coding RNA (BDIS_LNC004116)
Source: RNAcentral
UGACGGAGAAAUGUUUUUUGGCUGGUUACAAAUCUAUAUCAAUAAUCUAUAAUCUAUAUAAAAGAUACGGACCGUUCUCUUCACCGUCGUCUGUCAAACUUUUCAUAAAAUUUGUGACGCCUCGUGAUUGCACCGAAUCUAUCUACAUCUAUAUACCAAUGUAAAAAAUAUUGAAUGUUCCAACUUCUUUUCUCCCCUUUUUUCCGUCCCCCGCGACCCACCUCGUCCGCCCGCACACAAAUCACUCCUUCGUCCGCUCCAGACGCCGAGCAGGGGAACAUGUUCGUUCUCUCAGCCCUCAUCCCCCCGCGUGUUGAUCUGGACCAACGGGAGCCGCUACGACAACGCGCGCUAAGGCGGUUCAGCAGCCGUUUAAUUCCGCAAAAAACAGGGGAACAUGUUCGUUCUCUCAGCUCUCGUCCCCAGCGUGUUGAUCUAGGCCAACGGGAGCCACUACGAUAAACGCGCUAAGGCGGUUUAGCCGUGAUUAUGGGGGAUGAUUGAGGAGGGAAAAAGGAAGAGAAGGGCCAUGGGAUACGGUUCAAAGCACCUGGACGGGUGGCAGGUCGAGGAGGCGUCGUCGAGGGCAGAGAUUGCGACGGCCGACGCACAUGUGUGCUGCUUUAGGCGCUAGGAGGAAGACGGGCACGAGCGCUCGUGCGGACAUGGGUUGGACGUCCUCAGAAAAACUGGCCCAAGAGAGAGAACAGGUGUGGUCCGAGAGAAAAAAAAAGAGAAAAAAAAAUCCAAAAAUGGCUUUUCUUGGCCGUAGCAGAACACAGGCAUUCUGCUGUAAAAUAAAAAAGGCUCGUUCCUCUUUAAAAAAAAAGGACUCGCUCGCAUUUAAAACAAAAGUCGUUGAUAACGACCGCAUAAAGCGAUAUUCUUCAAAGUGACAAGGAUGAGACGCGUGGUUCGGGCAAUCCCCACGCGCGAAUUUUGUCAGAAGAAAGAAAUCCGGAAAUUAAAUCUGCACGAGGUGUAUGUGUGUAAGAAAUCACGCACGUUUUAUACUCCGUAUUAUAUUACGCCUCGAAUUGGCUCUAGCUUAAUUCCCGAUAAAUUCAGAACUGACUGUACCUGAUCCUGCGCUGUUCAUGUCGCGUAUCUGCGCUGAUGGGGGGGAAAGGAGUAUCUAGAGUUUAGAUUUAUAGCAAAGCUUUUUUUUAGCUGGUGCACCACAUCUUUCUUUCUACCUGUGAUAUAUAUCCCUCCUGAUCUUGACAACGGUUUCCAUCAUUUGCCUCCAACAAGCAAGUUACCGAUGCACACGUACAUGUUCCUGGAAAAAAGUUAUUGCUAAAUGGAGGAAUAAAAAGAGACCUUUUUAAUCUGGGGAAUCUCGUGUAGUCGUGUAGAGUACGUACAUUCUCAGGAGAAGAAAACAAGAAUUGGAGAAACUUGCAAGG